This 1462-nucleotide ribosomal RNA is filed under the name uncultured organism. RNAcentral's name for it is "16S ribosomal RNA". It matches the Rfam family "Bacterial small subunit ribosomal RNA". The record is from RNAcentral.
GCGGCGUGCCUAAUACAUGCAAGUAGAACGCUGAAGAGAGGAGCUUGCUCUUCUUGGAUGAGUUGCGAACGGGUGAGUAACGCGUAGGUAACCUGCCUGGUAGCGGGGGAUAACUAUUGGAAACGAUAGCUAAUACCGCAUAAAAUUGAUUAUUGCAUGAUAAUUAAUUGAAAGAUGCAAUUGCAUCACUACCAGAUGGACCUGCGUUGUAUUAGCUAGUUGGUGAGGUAACGGCUCACCAAGGCGACGAUACAUAGCCGACCUGAGAGGGUGAUCGGCCACACUGGGACAGAGACACGGCCCAGACUCCUACGGGAGGCAGCAGUAGGGAAUCUUCGGCAAUGGGGGGAACCCUGACCGAGCAACGCCGCGUGAGUGAAGAAGGUUUUCGGAUCGUAAAGCUCUGUUGUAAGAGAAGAACGGGUGUGAGAGUGGAAAGUUCACACUGUGACGGUAUCUUACCAGAAAGGGACGGCUAACUACGUGCCAGCAGCCGCGGUAAUACGUAGGUCCCGAGCGUUGUCCGGAUUUAUUGGGCGUAAAGCGAGCGCAGGCGGUUAGAUAAGUCUGAAGUUAAAGGCUGUGGCUUAACCAUAGUAUGCUUUGGAAACUGUUUAACUUGAGUGCAGAAGGGGAGAGUGGAAUUCCAUGUGUAGCGGUGAAAUGCGUAGAUAUAUGGAGAAACACCGGUGGCGAAAGCGGCUCUCUGGUCUGUAACUGACGCUGAGGCUCGAAAGCGUGGGGAGCAAACAGGAUUAGAUACCCUGGUAGUCCACGCCGUAAACGAUGAGUGCUAGGUGUUAGGCCCUUUCCGGGGCUUAGUGCCGCAGCUAACGCAUUAAGCACUCCGCCUGGGGAGUACGACCGCAAGGUUGAAACUCAAAGGAAUUGACGGGGGCCCGCACAAGCGGUGGAGCAUGUGGUUUAAUUCGAAGCAACGCGAAGAACCUUACCAGGUCUUGACAUCCCCCUGACCGCUCUAGAGAUAGAGUUUUCCUUCGGGACAGAGGUGACAGGUGGUGCAUGGUUGUCGUCAGCUCGUGUCGUGAGAUGUUGGGUUAAGUCCCGCAACGAGCGCAACCCCUAUUGUUAGUUGCCAUCAUUCAGUUGGGCACUCUAGCGAGACUGCCGGUAAUAAACCGGAGGAGGGUGGGGAUGACGUCAAAUCAUCAUGCCCCUUAUGACCUGGGCUACACACGUGCUACAAUGGCUGGUACAACGAGUCGCAAGCCGGUGACGGCAAGCUAAUCUCUGAAAGCCAGUCUCAGUUCGGAUUGUAGGCUGCAACUCGCCUACAUGAAGUCGGAAUCGCUAGUAAUCGCGGAUCAGCACGCCGCGGUGAAUACGUUCCCGGGCCUUGUACACACCGCCCGUCACACCACGAGAGUUUGUAACACCCGAAGUCGGUGAGGUAACCGUAAGGAGCCAGCCGCCUAAGGUGGGAUAGAUGAUUGGGGUGAAG